This 253-nucleotide ribosomal RNA is filed under the name uncultured bacterium. Its description in RNAcentral is "partial 16S ribosomal RNA". It matches the Rfam family "Bacterial small subunit ribosomal RNA", at positions 524 to 776 of the family's 1533-position model. The record is from RNAcentral.
UACGUAGGGGGCAAGCGUUGUCCGGAAUCAUUGGGCGUAAAGCGCGUGUAGGCGGCCUUGUAAGUCCGUUCUGAAAGUCCGGGGCUCAACCCCGGGAGGCGGAUGGAUACUGCAAGGCUCGAGUCCGGAAGAGGCAAGUGGAAUUCCCGGUGUAGCGGUGAAAUGCGCAGAUAUCGGGAAGAACACCCGUGGCGAAGGCGGCUCUCUGGGACGGUACUGACGCUGAGACGCGAAAGCGUGGGGAGCAAACAGG